Molecule: ribosomal RNA, 484 nt
Filed under: uncultured bacterium
Lineage: Bacteria
Description: partial 16S ribosomal RNA
Rfam family: Bacterial small subunit ribosomal RNA
Source: RNAcentral
AUUGAACGCUGGCGGCAGGCCUAACACAUGCAAGUCGAGCGGAUGAAGGGAGCUUGCUCCUGGAUUCAGCGGCGGACGGGUGAGUAAUGCCUAGGAAUCUGCCUGGUAGUGGGGGAUAACGUCCGGAAACGGGCGCUAAUACCGCAUACGUCCUGAGGGAGAAAGUGGGGGAUCUUCUGACCUCACACUAUCAGAUGAGCCUAGGUCGGAUUAGCUAGUUGGUGGGGUAAAGGCCUACCAAGGCGACGAUCCGUAACUGGUCUGAGAGGAUGAUCAGUCACACUGGAACUGAGACACGGUCCAGACUCCUACGGGAGGCAGCAGUGGGGAAUAUUGGACAAUGGGCGAAAGCCUGAUCCAGCCAUGCCGCGUGUGUGAAGAAGGUCUUCGGAUUGUAAAGCACUUUAAGUUGGGAGGAAGGGCAGUAAGUUAAUACCUUGCUGUUUUGACGUUACCAACAGAAUAAGCACCGGCUAACUUCGUG